Molecule: ribosomal RNA, 996 nt
Filed under: Salmonella enterica
Lineage: Bacteria; Pseudomonadati; Pseudomonadota; Gammaproteobacteria; Enterobacterales; Enterobacteriaceae
Description: partial 23S ribosomal RNA
Rfam family: Bacterial large subunit ribosomal RNA
Source: RNAcentral
GGUUAAGCGACUAAGCGUACACGGUGGAUGCCCUGGCAGUCAGAGGCGAUGAAGGACGUGCUAAUCUGCGAUAAGCGCCGGUAAGGUGAUAUGAACCGUUAUAACCGGCGAUUUCCGAAUGGGGAAACCCAGUGUGACUCGUCACACUAUCAUUAACUGAAUCCAUAGGUUAAUGAGGCGAACCGGGGGAACUGAAACAUCUAAGUACCCCGAGGAAAAGAAAUCAACCGAGAUUCCCCCAGUAGCGGCGAGCGAACGGGGAGGAGCCCAGAGCCUGAAUCAGCAUGUGUGUUAGUGGAAGCGUCUGGAAAGGCGCGCGAUACAGGGUGACAGCCCCGUACACAAAAGCGCAUGUGCUGUGAGCUCGAUGAGUAGGGCGGGACACGUGGUAUCCUGUCUGAAUAUGGGGGGACCAUCCUCCAAGGCUAAAUACUCCUGACUGACCGAUAGUGAACCAGUACCGUGAGGGAAAGGCGAAAAGAACCCCGGCGAGGGGAGUGAAAAAGAACCUGAAACCGUGUACGUACAAGCAGUGGGAGCACCCUUUGGGGUGUGACUGCGUACCUUUUGUAUAAUGGGUCAGCGACUUAUAUUCUGUAGCAAGGUUAACCGAAUAGGGGAGCCGGAGGGAAACCGAGUCUUAAUUGGGCGUUAAGUUGCAGGGUAUAGACCCGAAACCCGGUGAUCUAGCCAUGGGCAGGUUGAAGGUUGGGUAACACUAACUGGAGGACCGAACCGACUAAUGUUGAAAAAUUAGCGGAUGACCUGUGGCUGGGGGUGAAAGGCCAAUCAAACCGGGAGAUAGCUGGUUCUCCCCGAAAGCUAUUUAGGUAGCGCCUCGUGAAUUCAUCUCCGGGGGUAGAGCACUGUUUCGGCUAGGGGGCCAUCCCGGCUUACCAACCCGAUGCAAACUGCGAAUACCGGAGAAUGUUAUCACGGGAGACACACGGCGGGUGCUAACGUCCGUCGUGAAGAGGGAAACAACCCAGACCGCCA